RNAcentral lists this ribosomal RNA (497 nucleotides) under uncultured bacterium. RNAcentral's name for it is "partial 16S ribosomal RNA". It matches the Rfam family "Bacterial small subunit ribosomal RNA", at positions 28 to 507 of the family's 1533-position model. The record is from RNAcentral.
GAUGAACGCUGGCGGCGUGCCUAAUACAUGCAAGUCGAGCGAACAGACGAGGAGCUUGCUCCUCUGACGUUAGCGGCGGACGGGUGAGUAACACGUGGAUAACCUACCUAUAAGACUGGGAUAACUUCGGGAAACCGGAGCUAAUACCGGAUAAUAUAUUGAACCGCAUGGUUCAAUAGUGAAAGACGGUUUUGCUGUCACUUAUAGAUGGAUCCGCGCCGCAUUAACUAGUUGGUAAGGUAACGGCUUACCAAGGCAACGAUGCGUAGCCGACCGGAGAGGGUGGUCGGCCACACUGGAACUGAGACACGGUCCAGACUCCUACGGGAGGCAGCAGUAGGGAAUCUUCCGCAAUGGGCGAAAGCCUGACGGAGCAACGCCGCGUGAGUGAUGAAGGUCUUCGGAUCGUAAAACUCUGUUAUUAGGGAAGAACAAAUGUGUAAGUAACUAUGCACGUCUUGACGGUACCUAAUCAGAAAGCCACGGCUAACUACGUG